GACGAACGCUGGCGGCGUGCUUAACACAUGCAAGUCGAACGGAAAGGCCCUGCUUUUGUGGGGUGCUCGAGUGGCGAACGGGUGAGUAACACGUGAGUAACCUGCCCUUGACUUUGGGAUAACUUCAGGAAACUGGGGCUAAUACCGGAUAGGAGCUCCUGCUGCAUGGUGGGGGUUGGAAAGUUUCGGCGGUUGGGGAUGGACUCGCGGCUUAUCAGCUUGUUGGUGGGGUAGUGGCUUACCAAGGCUUUGACGGGUAGCCGGCCUGAGAGGGUGACCGGCGACAUUGGGACUGCGAUAGGGCCCAGAGUCCUACGGGAGGCAGCAGUGGGGAAUAUUGCACAAUGGGCGGAAGCCUGAUGCAGCAACGCCGCGUGCGGGAUGACGGCCUUCGGGUUGUAAACCGCUUUCGCCUGUGACGAAGCGUGAGUGACGGUAAUGGGUAAAGAAGCACCGGCUAACUACGUG
Molecule: ribosomal RNA, 468 nt
Filed under: uncultured bacterium
Lineage: Bacteria
Description: partial 16S ribosomal RNA
Rfam family: Bacterial small subunit ribosomal RNA
Source: RNAcentral